UACGAAGGGGGCUAGCGUUGCUCGGAAUCACUGGGCGUAAAGCGCACGUAGGCGGAUUGUUAAGUCAGGGGUGAAAUCCUGGAGCUCAACUCCAGAACUGCCUUUGAUACUGAUGAGCUUGAGUUCGGGAGAGGUGAGUGGAACUGCGAGUGUAGAGGUGAAAUUCGUAGAUAUUCGCAAGAACACCAGUGGCGAAGGCGGCUCACUGGCCCGAUACUGACGCUGAGGUGCGAAAGCGUGGGGAGCAAACAGG
Molecule: ribosomal RNA, 253 nt
Filed under: uncultured bacterium
Lineage: Bacteria
Description: partial 16S ribosomal RNA
Rfam family: Bacterial small subunit ribosomal RNA
Source: RNAcentral